Molecule: long non-coding RNA, 803 nt
Filed under: Monodelphis domestica (gray short-tailed opossum)
Lineage: Eukaryota; Metazoa; Chordata; Mammalia; Didelphimorphia; Didelphidae
Description: lncRNA (ENSMODG00000050732.1)
Source: RNAcentral
GUUCAGAAGUGUAGCAAGGGAAGGUAGAAGUUGCAAGAAUGAUUGGCAGUUCUUAAGAUUUAGAAUCUUUCAUGAGCUGGUUGGGACAGAGUUCCAAGGAGCAGUUUCCAACUGACUCAGUCUGGAUCUGAAAGGGAAGAAGGAAGGUAUGUAGCUGAGACUCCCUGAACAAACCACCUAUCAAGCAACUGGACAUUGAGGAUCAACUGUCUGAGGUUCUAUGAUCAGUAGAUCUCUGAGGAUUGAAAUAGAAACAACCAGGCAGAAGAGGAAUGAAUGAAAGUAGAGGAUACAUUGAAAACAGCAAAAAAAAAAAUAGCAGUUGACAUCAGCUGAGUCUGCUGCUGAAAGAAAAGGAGGCUUCAUGGAAGAUUUAUAUGCACCAGCCAUUUCUGAAACCAAUAGGCACCUUUGUUUGAUAUGUUUAAAGAAGUUCUAAAUAGAAAAGUCAUAUGGCUUACCUAGAGGAACUCCAAGGAAAGUAGAGUCAAAGGUUCAGCCACAAGGUGUCUGAGACAAAGCAAAGAACUUCUAGGAUUAUUUGUUUCCUGGUACCUGUGAAGAUUGGAUUUAGCUAUCUCCUGAUUAUAACAAUGAAGAUACUUAGUUCUUUCUUUAUCAUGAAGAUAAAAUUGUAAUCUCCUGAUUGGAACAAUGAAGGUACUUCUUCCUUCCUGAAGCUAGAAUUGUAAGUUACAAUCUAUUUUUAGAUUUUAACUACAAAAAGAUAUUACAAAAGGUGAAUUUAAACAAAGAGGUGUUUAGUAACCCAAAAGAUAAAAUCUAACCAAAGAAGGUGAGAA